This 3172-nucleotide long non-coding RNA is filed under the name Sus scrofa (pig). RNAcentral describes it as "lncRNA (ENSSSCG00025077726.1, ENSSSCG00065023073.1)". Lineage: Eukaryota; Metazoa; Chordata; Mammalia; Artiodactyla; Suidae. The record is from RNAcentral.
CCUUUUCUAGGGCCGCUUCCCGUGGCAUAUGGAGGUUCCCAGGCUAGGGCCCUAAAAAAAAAAAAUAGAGAGAGAGAGACAAAAGAAAUCAAACGCAGUAGUUAAAAUUUACCAAAUGUCUCCUGAUUACUCAAAGUAUAUUUAUUUCUUGCUCAGAGAGGUACAAAACCAAGUUUACUUUUUUCUUUGAAGAAAUAUAUCUAUUUAUCUGUUUAUUUUAUAGAAUUAGAAAAUAACUUUGAGUUAAUUCAUUCUGUUAUUACCUGCUUUCUCCAGUUAAGAGACUUUAUGCAGUGAAAUGCGAAGAUUCAGUUUAUAAUUCUAUUACCAGUGAGUGAAGAUGAAUUGGUGAAAAAUGCAUGUAAACUAAUGAACUUAUUAUAGUGACCAACUAUAAAAGAUAUUGUGGAACUAUACUUGUACUACUAUGCAAUGUUUGAAAGCAAGUAUUGUUAAAAUGAAACUUUUAUCAAGGACUAAAAGUAAAAAAGCAAAGUCAAAUAUUUUACACGUACUCUUCCCUCAUGCCCCGCCACACAUCACAUCCAAUCACACUGCCUAAAGCUAAAAUAAAGAUUCAAGUAUCAAAAGAAACAUACUCAUAUUAUUAGAGUUGAAAGGGACCUUGAAGAUGAAGGAAGUAUGUCAGAUCAUGUGACAUGUCCAAGAUUAUAUAACUAGUUAGUGGUAGCACUAGACCUAGAACAAUCUUUCCUUUCUCUACACCUGAAAUUUUUGACAAUGUGUAAUGAAAUAAGAGUUAAUAUGAAGAAUUGGCUGAUAAGCAAGAUGCUGUCCCCUCAAGUUAAAAACAAUUGGAUUUAAUGACUUCUACUUACUGGAUUUUAUAUUCCUAGGAAAAUAAGUUUAAAAUAAUAUUGUAAAAGCUAACUAGAAGUAAUACAAACCACAAAGAAAACUUAUCCUUUUUCUUAAAUCAAAACCAUGUAAAAGGACAUUUUUUUAAUGUCUAAAGGAAGCCAGAGAUUUAUUGGUUGUAUGUAUAUGUAUGGUAGUGAUGGGGUUUGUUCUGUGUUGCUUAGUUUUGUAAAUCCUUAGGGGUUCCUCUAGUUUCCUUUCUUCGUGAUGGUAAUCUGUGUCCCAAAAAUGGGAGUACAAAGAACAUGAAUUUCUGAUAAUUUAUAAAAUGCUUAACUAUAUAUAAAAAAGUCUCUAGAAACUUAGUAAUGACAGACAGUAAGAAAUAGUUGCCAAUAAUUUGAAAAUCAAAAAUCCAAAUCUUUUUGUUUGCAUGUAAAAUAAGGAACAUCUUUUAAAAAGGUCAAAAGUAAUUGAAAAAGAUUAAAUCUGUACACCUAAUUCUCUAAACUGUGUAUAUACUUUUCUUGAACUGCAUAUUCAUGAGCUGACAGUAGAGACAGGCUGGCUGCUUUGUUUGACUAUAGCUCUGUUUAUCUCAUACUGUCAAGAAUGGAUUUUGACACUCAGUAUUAAUAUUGCUAUUUCUAUUGAUAUAAUUAGCACUGCUAUAAAUAAUUCCUCAGCCUGCCAUAUCUAAGUAUAUCAUUACAAUCAGCAAUGUAAGGGCUUAUUUUUUUUGCAUGAUGCAGACUGUUGGCUCAAAGAACCAGGGUGACUUCAAGAUGUAGAGGGUACUUAUGAAAAAAAAAAAAAAAAAGUUACCCUGUCAAUAGAGACUACUGUUUUGUGUAUGACUUCACUAAACAAACUAGUUUAUAUUUGUUUGAAACUAAAGUUUCUCACCAAUCUGCUGUUUCAAUUUCACAUCACACCAUAUUGUACCUAAAACAGGCAAUCUGGAUUUCUGUUGCUACUCUCCUCCGCCCCCCCACCCCAAAUAGCUCAGGAAUGGAUUUGAAAUAUGAGGUUUGAAUAUAUAAAGCAGAAACAAAUUAAGACAUCCCAAAUUGAGAAUGGGUGGGUGAAAAUAAGUGUGCUUCACUUCACUUGUAUAGCUGCUAAUCGGUGGCCCACUUCUGAGUUUUUGAUCAUUACAUGAAAGCAAAAUCAAAACAUAUUUUAUCUUGCCUCUAGAUCACAUCAGUUGUGACAAUAACCUUAUCUAGACCUUGAAUAGUUUGUUCAUAAAACAAAGUGGGGUGACUGACCCAGUGCAUAUUCAACACAGAGUAUGAAGGCCAAAACAAAACGACAAUACAAUUCAAAACAAGUUUGUGGAAAUUUUAGGCUAGUAUAUUAAACCUUUCUUUGUCUCUUAUCACUUGACAGAUGGUUAGCCUUCACACAGCCUAGUAUCUCUGGCAAAGAAAUGGCUGUGUCUAGCCAAUAACGCCCCAAAUUUUGACUUAAAAUGAACUGUACAUAUACUUACACUUACCUUAAAAAGAUGAAUAUUAAUAAAAUUAGUCAUUAUUUUAUUACUAUAGAAAUUUGACAGAUGUCAACAUUUUAUCUUUUACUCUAUGAAUACCUCUUUUAGAAACUCUCAACUAGCUCAUUAUGUGGAUCCAGGGUUCUAACAACUCUUUGCUUUAGAUUUCAUUCAUUUUGUGUGCUGCUUAGUAAUCACGCUUUAAAAAAUUCCAAAAUUAUUACAAAAUUUACAAUGAUUUAAUUAGCUUAUAUUUUUAUGCUGCCUGGAGCAAAGUUCUGAUAAGUAACAAAGUCUGUUAAACAAAAUCACCUGGGAGCUUUGCAUGCCUUCGCUGUCAAGGAACUCAAGGCAGGACUGGAAUUAUUUACCCACUACUGAAAUAUGCCUUUAUUCAAAAACUAAUCAUAUAUAUUAUAUAUAUAUAUAAUACACCUAAUAUAGGUGUAUAACAUCUAUACACAUACACACAGACACAGAAACACACAUUAAUUAACUGUCCUUACUAGAAUUAGAAAAAGUUCUUAAUUUUUAACAUUCUAUCAACUAUUUCUCCACUUCACUUUUUAAGAUUUCAGCUAAAACAAUACAUUUCGUCAGUUACGGUCUCAGCUUCUCACCCUAAAUCUUCCUAUUUAUAGAUUUCAGAUGCUGCCAGAUCUGUAUUCAAAUAGCUACAGGCAACCUCAAUGUUCCCUGAAGUGCAUUCAUAUGUACACUUUCUAUUAGAGGUGAUUACAUCAUAAAUUAGCAUAGAGAUCUAGUGUAGAUAUAGCAAUUCAAGCCAUUCAUAGCAGGGGAUGAGAGGACUGGAGGAAGGAAGAUUGUGCGUAAAAAAAAAAAAAAAAAAAAAAAAAA